UACGUAGGGGGCUAGCGUUGUCCGGAAUCAUUGGGCGUAAAGAGCGCGUAGGCGGCCAGAUAAGUCCGGUGUGAAAGUCACAGGCUCAACCUUUGAAUGCCGCUGGAAACUGCCUGGCUUGAGUCCGGAAGGGGCGAGUGGAAUUCCUGGUGUAGCGGUGAAAUGCGCAGAUAUCAGGAGGAACACCAAUGGCGAAGGCAGCUCGCUGGAACGGUACUGACGCUGAGGCGCGAAAGCGUGGGGAGCGAACAGG
RNAcentral lists this ribosomal RNA (253 nucleotides) under uncultured bacterium. RNAcentral's name for it is "partial 16S ribosomal RNA". It matches the Rfam family "Bacterial small subunit ribosomal RNA", at positions 524 to 776 of the family's 1533-position model. The record is from RNAcentral.